GAUGAAGAACGCAGUGAAAUGCGAUAAGUAAUGUGAAUUGCAGAAUUCAGUGAAUCAUCGAAUCUUUGAACGCACAUUGCGCCCCCUGGUAUUCCGGGGGGCAUGCCUGUCCGAGCGUCAUUACAACCCUCAAGCUCAGCUUGGUGUUGGGCCCCGCCGCCCCGGCGGGCCCUAAAGUCAGUGGCGGUGCCGUCCGGCUCCGAGCGUAGUAAUUCUUCUCGCUCUGGAGGCCCGGUCGUGUGCUCGCCAGCAACCCCCAAUUUUUUUCAGGUUGACCUCGGAUCAGGUAGGGAUACCCGCUGAACUUAAGCAUAUCAAAAGCGGAGGA
This 328-nucleotide unclassified non-coding RNA is filed under the name soil metagenome. RNAcentral's name for it is "partial contains 5.8S ribosomal RNA, internal transcribed spacer 2, and large subunit ribosomal RNA". The stretch from base 1 to 120 matches the Rfam family "5.8S ribosomal RNA", at positions 35 to 154 of the family's 154-position model. The record is from RNAcentral.